GACGAACGCUGGCGGCGUGCCUAAUACAUGCAAGUAGAACGCUGAAGGAGGAGCUUGCUUCUCCGGAUGAGUUGCGAACGGGUGAGUAACGCGUAGGUAACCUGCCUGGUAGCGGGGGAUAACUAUAGGAAACGAUAGCUAAUACCGCAUAAGAGUAGAUGUCGCAUGACAUUUGCUUAAAAGGUGCAACUGCACCACUACCAGAUGGACCUGCGUUGUAUUAGCUAGUUGGUGAGGUAACGGCUCACCAAGGCAACGAUACAUAGCCGACCUGAGAGGGUGAUCGGCCACACUGGGACUGAGACACGGCCCAGACUCCUACGGGAGGCAGCAGUAGGGAAUCUUCGGCAAUGGACGGAAGUCUGACCGAGCAACGCCGCGUGAGUGAAGAAGGUUUUCGGAUCGUAAAGCUCUGUUGUAAGAGAAGAACGAGUGUGAGAGUGGAAAGUUCACACUGUGACGGUAUCUUACCAGAAAGGGACGGCUAACUACGUG
Molecule: ribosomal RNA, 495 nt
Filed under: uncultured bacterium
Lineage: Bacteria
Description: partial 16S ribosomal RNA
Rfam family: Bacterial small subunit ribosomal RNA
Source: RNAcentral